GGGGGGGGGGGGGGGCGGGGGGGGGGGGGGGGGGGCGGGGGGGGGGGCGGGGGGGGGGGGGCGCGGGUGUGGGCGGCGGGCGGGUGGGUGACGCGUGGGUCACCUACCUAUAAGACUGGGAUCACUUCGGGAAACCGGAGCUCAUACCGGAUGAUAUUUUUGACCGCAUGGUUCAAAAGUGACAGACGGUCUUGCUGUCACUUAUAGAUGGAUCCGCGCUGCAUUAGCUAGGUGGUACGGUCACGGCUUACCAAGGCACCGAUGCAUAGCCGACCUGAGGGGGUGAUCGGCCACACUGGAACUGAGACACGGUCCAGACUCCGACGGGAGGCAGGAGGAGGGAAUCUGCCGCAAGGGGCGAAAGCCUGACGGAGCAACGCCGCGUGAGUGAUGAAGGUCUUCGGAGCGUAAAACUCUGUUAUUAGGGAAGAACAUAUGUGUAAGUAACUGUGCACAUCUUGACGGUACCGAAGCAGAAAGCCACGGCUAACUACGU
This 496-nucleotide ribosomal RNA is filed under the name uncultured bacterium. RNAcentral's name for it is "partial 16S ribosomal RNA". The stretch from base 58 to 496 matches the Rfam family "Bacterial small subunit ribosomal RNA", at positions 39 to 506 of the family's 1533-position model. The record is from RNAcentral.